GUCCGCCCCUGCAACGGCGCGCGCUUCCGCAGAGAAGCAGUGGAGCUGGACCGGGAGUGCAGGUGAAUGCAGCUGCCGAGCCAGCAAGGCCCGUCAAAGGACCAGAUGAAAGGCUGAGCCAGAGAGAUCAGCGGUCCAAACACUGACGUACCGUAUGUUGCUGCGGCUUUUGGCUGCAGCUGUAGUGAAGGCUGAACAGAUGGAGGACGGCCUGGAAAGAAGUCACAUACUGAGGGUUUGCUGGUGGGAAAGGAACUGGAAAACUGGCCUGCAAAAGUCUACUGAUGAAAUAACGCCUCCAGGCAAG
Long non-coding RNA from Scatophagus argus, 307 nucleotides. RefSeq lists it as uncharacterized. The record is from RefSeq and is a predicted model, not a curated record. NCBI's taxonomy places the organism in Eukaryota, Metazoa, Chordata, Actinopteri, Scatophagidae. The transcript is spliced from 3 exons.